GUUGGGAUGCUCCCAGGCUACAAAUAGCCGCCCCCCACAACCACUAGCUGGUUGGUUGCUCAAUUAGAAACUGACACUUGUCAUAAGAGCAACCCAAAUUCCUCAGAGCCUUCGAGAGUAAAUCAUCAAUGAGGAAAUACACCACCCACCGAAACCACAAACCAAACCUAGUGAUUGAGCAUCACUGAAGAAGUUGUUCCUGUGUGGGACUGGAGCCUUUUACCUUUGAGGACUGUGCAUCCUCCAGACGGUUAGGUGUCAUGGUCUAGAGCAAUCCAGCAGUCAAUUGUGGAUCGCCGGGUGACCAAGUUUGUGAGGGUUUGGAAGUCUGCCCUGAAGACUUACCACGAGUGUUGGGCGAGGACUGUGUGUCCUUAGCUCAAGGAGUAUAUGGUAGGGACUGUGUGUCCCGGGACUGGGUGUCCUUUGGUUUCAAUACCAAGCCGCUCCAAACCAGAUGUACAACUGUCACAGUAGUUGGAACUGAGUCAUCAACAACUGUCUUCACCGAGAAACGGGUUCUAAUUUCUCAACUCUUUACUUUCCUUAUAUUGUGUGUUGAUGACUUUCACUGUGACUGUUUGAAGAAUUUGCUAAAGACUUUCUCUGAAUUUCCUCAACCCCAAAUUCUUCACGUUAGUCAUUUCUCAUCUGUAUUCUGCGUGCCUGCUCACUUUGCAAUCUGUUUUCACAUUCUUCACUCUGAAAAACUGCUGUUGUGAAACUUUGCACUUCUGAUCCUUUACUAUUUCCGCUGUAAGUUAGUCAUCAGUGAGGAAUUUCCUCAAAAGGAAUUUCCUCAAUGAUGAAAUUCUAAAAAUCUCCUAUUCACCCCCCCUCUAGUCAAUAUAACGCACUUUCAUUGCUGCAACCUCACCACCU
RNAcentral lists this long non-coding RNA (882 nucleotides) under Hordeum vulgare. Its description in RNAcentral is "long non-coding RNA (HVUL_LNC004177)". Lineage: Eukaryota; Viridiplantae; Streptophyta; Magnoliopsida; Poales; Poaceae. The record is from RNAcentral.